GACGAACGCUGGCGGCGUGCUUAACACAUGCAAGUCGAACGGAAAGGCCCCUUUGGGGGUACUCGAGUGGCGAACGGGUGAGUAACACGUGAGUAACCUGCCCUUGACUUCGGGAUAACUUCAGGAAACUGGGGCUAAUACCGGAUAGGAAUCCUUGCUGCAUGGUGGGGGUUGGAAAGCUUCGGCGGUUUUGGAUGGACUCGCGGCUUAUCAGCUUGUUGGUGGGGUAGUGGCUUACCAAGGCUUUGACGGGUAGCCGGCCUGAGAGGGCGACCGGCCACAUUGGGACUGAGAUACGGCCCAGACUCCUACGGGAAGCAGCAGUGGGGAAUAUUGCACAAUGGGCGGAAGCCUGAUGCAGCAACGCCGCGUGCGGGAUGACGGCCUUCGGGUUGUAAACCGCUUUCAGCAGGGGCGAAGCUUGUGGUGACGGUACCUGCAGAAGAAGCACCGGCUAACUACGUG
Molecule: ribosomal RNA, 465 nt
Filed under: uncultured bacterium
Lineage: Bacteria
Description: partial 16S ribosomal RNA
Rfam family: Bacterial small subunit ribosomal RNA
Source: RNAcentral